This is a non-coding RNA of Pelobates cultripes (western spadefoot toad), 241 nucleotides long. The record is from the annotation of a GenBank genome assembly. Lineage: Eukaryota; Metazoa; Chordata; Amphibia; Anura; Pelobatidae.
CUCAUGUGCCUGCUAACCUCCAGGUAGCGUGGCAGAGCUUCUGUUUCCUCUAGCCAGUCUGACAGGAGGUGUUUACUGAGAUCACUUCCGGUCAGGCUGGUUAGAGGAUAAAGAUGCUCCAAAACCCAUGGUACACUCUGCUAUGCUACAAGAAUUGGCCAGCAGGAGGGUAGCUCUUCCCCUCCUGAUGGUCACCUGGUCAUUGUGCCCCCUAGGCCGGUGUAUUUUAGGUGGCUAUGCA